UACGGGGGAUGCGAGCGUUAUCCGGAUUUAUUGGGUUUAAAGGGAGCGUAGGCCGCCGAUUAAGCGUGUUGUGAAAUGCCGUGGCUCAACCAUGGCACUGCAGCGCGAACUGGUUGGCUUGAGUGCGCGGAAGGCAGGCGGAAUUCGUGGUGUAGCGGUGAAAUGCUUAGAUAUGACGAAGAACUCCGAUUGCGAAGGCAGCCGGCUGUAUCGUAACUGACGCUGAAGCUCGAAAGUGUGGGUAUCGAACAGG
Molecule: ribosomal RNA, 253 nt
Filed under: uncultured bacterium
Lineage: Bacteria
Description: partial 16S ribosomal RNA
Rfam family: Bacterial small subunit ribosomal RNA
Source: RNAcentral